AAGUCCUGACAGUGGGCUCUUGGUGGCAGGGUGACUCUCUUGGCCCUGCCCAGGCUGGAACCCAGGCCAGGUACCUGCACUCAGGUCCAGACACAGAGAGGCCAGGCCCAGGGCAGCCAGAAGAGGCCCAAAUAUGCCAGGGCUGCAACAUCGCGUCCCCAGGCACACAGACAAUGCCAGUACUCAAUUCGCUGUAAUCAUGGAAAGCCUGACUGCUCUACCUGGAAUUAGACUUCCUGCUAUGGAUAACCUGUAAACCAACCUCCCUGCCUUCCCUUCGUGGAAAAUUGAAGUUGAUUAUUAAAAAAAAAAAAAAGUAGACUCUGUAUUAAGAGGCCCUGUCAUCUGAAAAUGGAAACCUCACCAACACAAAAUAUAUCAAAAGGAUGAGUAUUCUUUUUACAAAAAGAGUUCCUACUGAGUUAAUUUUAGUAGAUUUUUAGUAAAGCCUUUUUAGACAACUAUAACAAGGCAGAGAGGACUGUUUGAAGGCGGCAGCUUUGAGCAGGAGAGC
RNAcentral lists this long non-coding RNA (514 nucleotides) under Pan troglodytes (chimpanzee). RNAcentral describes it as "lncRNA (ENSPTRG00000054174.1)". Lineage: Eukaryota; Metazoa; Chordata; Mammalia; Primates; Hominidae. The record is from RNAcentral.